This 72-nucleotide transfer RNA is filed under the name Chloroflexota bacterium. RNAcentral's name for it is "Chloroflexi bacterium tRNA-Thr". It matches the Rfam family "tRNA". Rfam says of the family: Transfer RNA (tRNA) molecules are approximately 80 nucleotides in length. Their secondary structure includes four short double-helical elements and three loops (D, anti-codon, and T loops). Further hydrogen bonds mediate the characteristic L-shaped molecular structure. tRNAs have two regions of fundamental functional importance: the anti-codon, which is responsible for specific mRNA codon recognition, and the 3' end, to which the tRNAs corresponding amino acid is attached (by aminoacyl-tRNA synthetases). tRNAs cope with the degeneracy of the genetic code in two manners: having more than one tRNA (with a specific anti-codon) for a particular amino acid; and 'wobble' base-pairing, i.e. permitting non-standard base-pairing at the 3rd anti-codon position. Lineage: Bacteria; Bacillati; Chloroflexota. The record is from RNAcentral. RNAcentral also lists the same sequence under 1 other name.
GCCCACAUAGCUCAGUGGUAGAGCAACGCCUUGGUAAGGCGUAGGUCUCGAGUUCAAGUCUCGAUGUGGGCU